This 71-nucleotide transfer RNA is filed under the name Bacteroidales bacterium. Its description in RNAcentral is "tRNA-Gln". It matches the Rfam family "tRNA". Rfam says of the family: Transfer RNA (tRNA) molecules are approximately 80 nucleotides in length. Their secondary structure includes four short double-helical elements and three loops (D, anti-codon, and T loops). RNAcentral also lists the same sequence under 1 other name. The record is from RNAcentral. Lineage: Bacteria; Pseudomonadati; Bacteroidota; Bacteroidia; Bacteroidales.
UGAGAUAUGGUGUAAUGGUAGCACUAGAGAUUCUGGCUCUCUCGGUUCGGGUUCGAGUCCUGAUAUCUCAA